UACACUCCUGCGGGAGGCAGCAGUGGGGAAUAUUGGACAAUGGGCGCAAGCCUGAUCCAGCCAUGCCGCGUGAGUGAUGAAGGCCCUAGGGUUGUAAAGCUCUUUCACCGGUGAAGAUAAUGACGGUAACCGGAGAAGAAGCCCCGGCUAACUUCGUGCCAGCAGCCGCGGUAAUACGAAGGGGGCUAGCGUUGUUCGGAUUUACUGGGCGUAAAGCGCACGUAGGCGGACUAUCAAGUCAGGGGUGAAAUCCCGGGGCUCAACCCCGGAACUGCCUUUGAUACUGGUAGUCUUGAGUUCGAGAGAGGUGAGUGGAAUUCCGAGUGUAGAGGUGAAAUUCGUAGAUAUUCGGAGGAACACCAGUGGCGAAGGCGGCUCACUGGCUCGAUACUGACGCUGAGGUGCGAAAGCGUGGGGAGCAAACAGGAUUAGAAACCCUAGUAGUCCCAUG
RNAcentral lists this ribosomal RNA (451 nucleotides) under uncultured organism. Its description in RNAcentral is "partial 16S ribosomal RNA". It matches the Rfam family "Bacterial small subunit ribosomal RNA", at positions 332 to 799 of the family's 1533-position model. The record is from RNAcentral.